UACGAACCGUGCGAACGUUGUUCGGAAUCACUGGGCUUAAAGGGCGCGUAGGCGGUCGAUCAAGUCCGGGGUGAAAUCUUUCGGCUCAACCGGAAAAGUGCCUCGGAUACUGAUUGGCUGGAGGGAGGUAGGGGCAGCUGGAACUUCCAGUGGAGCGGUGAAAUGCGUUGAUAUUGGAAGGAACGCCGGUGGCGAAAGCGGGCUGCUGGACCUCUUCUGACGCUGAGGCGCGAAAGCUAGGGGAGCAAACGGG
This 253-nucleotide ribosomal RNA is filed under the name uncultured bacterium. RNAcentral's name for it is "partial 16S ribosomal RNA". It matches the Rfam family "Bacterial small subunit ribosomal RNA", at positions 524 to 776 of the family's 1533-position model. The record is from RNAcentral.